CAGAGGUCCGACCUCCUUCCCGGCGCCUCCUCCUCUGAUCGCUGCCGUGGCAACCGGGACCUUAUAUACCCCUCCUCGUCCAAUCAGCUGCCUUUGCCCCGUCUCUUCACAUUUGACGCUCCGCGCGGCUUUUGUCCUCCGUCACCAGUCUCUGUGACCUCGGAUCCUCCGCGCGCCAUCCCAACGAGUGGUCCUUUCUGGCACCCUCUCGCAACUUCUGAUUUCUGGUCCUUCCCAAACCAGCCCACCUCCACAGCCCUAUUCUUACUACCUCCUUCUCUGAACUACCGAAUCCCACCCACGAUUUGCCACUGGGAAGCAAAAUCUUGCUUAAAUCACAACCAUAAGCAUUUGAAAUACAUCCCGAAUCUGAGCACUUCUCACCAUCGCCUAUGCUGACACUGCUGGCCAUGAGGGCUGAACCACCGUGAUCUCUCACCUGGAAGACCUGCAACAGCCUGCUCACUGUUUGCCCUACUUCCACCAUUGCGUUCCAACAGUCUGUCGUCUCAGGAGCAGCCAGAGUGAUUGUCUCCUGAUAGAAAUUGGGUCACGUCGCCCCUCUGCUCAAAACCUUCCUAUGACUCACCACUUCUAAGUAAAAUGCAAUGACCUUAUUAAGGACUGCACUGUCUUAUUUGAUCUGACCCCCCUCAUCCCUUUUAGCCCCAUUUCCUAACACUGUCCCCUUGCUUUGCUGUUCCACUCAAACUCACUAAGCCCGCACCAGCAUCAGAGCAUUUGCACUCGCAAUUUUCCCUGAACCUGGAACAGGUCCCCCAAACAGUCCACCUGGCUAACUAGUUCCCUCAUCUCAUCAAGUGUCUGUAACAACUCCAUAUCUUAUUAGAGAGGCCUUCCCUGAUAUCACCCUACAUAGAAGAGAGCUCCCUCCAUGAACAUCCCGCCCAUCAUCCUGCUGUAUUUUUCUUUAGAGCACUUACCACCUGCCUGACAUUUGUUUAUCUAUUUGAUGGCCCCUCACCCUAAAUAUAAGCUCCAUGGGAGCAAGGAAUUUGUCCAUUUUGUUCACUGCUCUAACAUAAGUGCCUAGGAAAAUGUCUGGAAUGUAUGAGGUACUCAAAAAAUGAUUUGUUGGAUGAACAUAUGAUUCCUCAUAUAUUAUAAAUAUAUUACACUAUUAACCUACACAGAGUCUCCAUAUAUAAAUAGUACCGAGAGGGAAUAUGCCAUGAGACCAAGGCAUUUUGUG
Molecule: non-coding RNA, 1213 nt
Organism: Equus caballus (horse)
Lineage: Eukaryota; Metazoa; Chordata; Mammalia; Perissodactyla; Equidae
Source: RefSeq, a predicted model, not a curated record